This 500-nucleotide ribosomal RNA is filed under the name uncultured bacterium. Its description in RNAcentral is "bacterial SSU rRNA". It matches the Rfam family "Bacterial small subunit ribosomal RNA", at positions 7 to 496 of the family's 1533-position model. The record is from RNAcentral.
GAGAGUUUGAUCCUGGCUCAGAUUGAACGCUGGCGGCAUGCCUUACACAUGCAAGUCGAACGGCAGCAUGAUCUAGCUUGCUAGAUUGAUGGCGAGUGGCGAACGGGUGAGUAAUACAUCGGAACGUGCCCUGUAGUGGGGGAUAACUAGUCGAAAGAUUAGCUAAUACCGCAUACGACCUGAGGGUGAAAGUGGGGGACCGCAAGGCCUCAUGCUAUAGGAGCGGCCGAUGUCUGAUUAGCUAGUUGGUGAGGUAAAGGCUCACCAAGGCGACGAUCAGUAGCUGGUCUGAGAGGACGAUCAGCCACACUGGGACUGAGACACGGCCCAGACUCCUACGGGAGGCAGCAGUGGGGAAUUUUGGACAAUGGGGGCAACCCUGAUCCAGCAAUGCCGCGUGUGUGAAGAAGGCCUUCGGGUUGUAAAGCACUUUUGUCCGGAAAGAAAUCGCACUUACUAAUAUUAGGUGUGGAUGACGGUACCGGAAGAAUAAGGACCGG